ACAUUCGCAGGUAUUUUAUUCAGUGGCUUAUGAAUUACAUAACACGCAGCAUAAUGUAAUUGCUUUGAACAGUAAGACUGGGCUUUGUUUCCCAAAAUGAGAACAUUUUGUAAGCGAUUUUGUCAUAUAUGGACAUUGCGCAGAGUUACGGCACAAAGCAUCAAACUGCUGCUCCUUUUAAAAAGUUCAGAUCUGGAUCUUGUAGAUCUGUCUGCUUAUGACCUGAUUAAGCUUAAGGUGUAAAUCACAACUAAUGAACUCUUAUGAUGGCAUAUUUAAGCAAUUUCACACAAGCUAGAGUGCUGUUAUAUACUGAAUAUCGAGUGACGGUAAAUCACAACCAUGAAGAUCUUCAAUACAACAAAACAUCAGGGGGGUAUUCCAGAAAGCAGGUUAUGUGACAUACCUGGGUAUGUUUAAGGGUAAUAUGUGAGGCAACCCAAAUCAUUACCAAUGUCGAGGCAAAAUGGCCAGGAUCUGUGCAUGCUGCCAGAAUUUUCCUCGAGUCAUCAUUAUGCCAGACAUUUCAGCAGGGUGUAUUCGCUUCAUGAGGGUUUCGAACAGUCAAAGAGGAGAUGCCAACUCCAUGUGGUCUUUAAGGACAACAAUCUCCUAAUCAAUACACAAUAUCAGACUGUAUCUGACUGUAGAAAGGACAUUAUUCAUAAUAACACUCUCCGGUGUUUAUAAAAAUUUAGAAAUCACACCCUCCAGUGUCCCUUAAAUGAGGACAAGGUUUCCUUUUGAGUCUGGUUCCUCUCAAGGUUUCAUCCUCUUCCGUCUAAGGGAGUACUUCCUUUUUGUACUAUGUUUCUGGUGUUCUGAAAAGCUGCUUUGAGACAAUGUCCACUGUUAAAAGUGCUAUACAGAUAAAUUUGGAUUGAAUUGAACUGAAUUGAAUUUUAUUGAAGUGUACCAUGUUUAAUGGAUUAAAACAACUAAACCUCCACACAUGUAUUGGUGUAGAUGUUGAGACUAUGGAAAACAACAACAAGCAUCAAACUUUAGACUCAUCGAAGCGAUUAAAUGCCAUGAAAUUGAAUUUACUAACCCUUCCUCUUUUACAGCACUGAACUCCAACUAAUUUUGCAGCUGGUGUUGAGCUAUGGUGUCAUUUCCCUAUUACAUAUGACUUGUGUGUAUUUAUGUAUUUCCACCCAACCGCACUGACUGACCACUGAGAGAACUGCAGGUACAAAUGUAACUCUGACUGAUCUACAAACCAGGAACCCUGUACAAAAGCUUAUGCUUGAGCAAAACUUUAUUUUAUACUUAUAGCUGCAAGUUUAUUUCUAAAUCAUAAAAAUCUACAAUUCACAUUUAAUUUAGUGUUAAAUAUUAAAAUGGUGACCUAAGGAGACAGAGAAUAACUCAUGGUUAGAAAGGAGUUUACUUUGUGAGACUAUGGAUUGGGGACAGGGCUGUAGACCGGACUUCUGACUCGACUCAGGCUUGUGACAGAGAAUUUGUGAUUACUCAUUAUAUACAUAUCUAGCAUCAUACUAAGCACAGGGCAACAGAUCUCAAAGUGAAUUGUUUUUUUCACAGUGGAGAAACUCACAACCCAUCAUUCUCAAAGUUAUUAUGUUCACGAUACACUUAUAGUUACUAUAGAAACAUUAGUCAUAUAGACAUUAACCUACUGUACUUGGUCCUAAUCCGGUGUGUUGGUAGAAAGUAAGUUUUACAAAAAGAAUACAAAAGCUCCUUGGAUUCAACACCACCAAAAUAUUAGUGAGAGAGUGAGCCUAAUUUGUGAAUAGUUAAAAUCUGUGUUGAGGUUGUCUAUAAACAAUUUGAGAAACCUUGGCACAGACAAUAUCUAUUUAUCCUAAAGAAACAUUAAAAACUCAUGUACAGAUUUCAAAAGAUGUACAAAUGUGGUGGGAAUAUAGGAUGCUUCGGACAGAUCAUAUAUUGGGUUUGUGUAUGUUUCAGACAGUAAUCAAAGUUUAAGGAAAAAGAAGUAAAAAGUGUAAUGUAAAAUGUUAAUGCACUCAGUACAGAAGCAUAAUAUCUUAGGAUUUUGGGCUAAACAAUAAA
Molecule: long non-coding RNA, 2043 nt
Organism: Tachysurus fulvidraco (yellow catfish)
Lineage: Eukaryota; Metazoa; Chordata; Actinopteri; Siluriformes; Bagridae
Exons: 3
Source: RefSeq, a predicted model, not a curated record